UUAUUUAUUAAUUUAUUUAUACACAGCAGCCUUCUUCACAGUAGAAGCCAGGUUCAUUGUUAGGAUCUCAGGGUCUGCUUUGCCUUCAAAUUACACAAAACAAAAUUAGAAACAACAGUAUAUGACUGCAUGUUUAAAGAGUAUAUACAUGUCAAGAGACUUGGAACAGGGUGGCACGUGCAGCCUUGUUUUUUCCCCCUAUCUUCAGCUUUGUAAUAUGCCUUUAAAAUGGCACAUGCAUGUAUUGUGUGCCUGCACCUUCACUCUUCUUCUGUCCAUUGACAGUCAUCCUCCCUAUGGACCAGUGCUAGAGGACAAUGAGAAACAUACUUUGCCGCUUUUUUCAUGGAUGACUAUUGGCAUGAAACCAAUAGUGAGACAGAGGCCUCUCAAGGAUCAGUACCAGGUUCUCCUGUGUCUCACUGAUUAAGCCUCUUGCUAUUCCUGCUCUGCCCCCAUGUACUAUUAUGUUAAUCAGUCUGCCUUCUCUUUCCUACAUGCCCAAACCUCCCCCUUCACCCAUAAUCUGGAAGUACUUCUUUCCCCCCACUUUCCUAUUAGAUCUCAAGUCCAUGAAAGGAAACACCUGAACUUCCCAAUGAAAAGGUUUUAAGAAGUUAGGUGGGGUUAUUUUACAAAAAGUAGUGAAUAAACCCCUAUCAAACACCUUAUACUCAACAAGAGUCUCAGAAAUAGCUAUGCUGCUUUAACUAAAGUUCAAAAUAUUUGAGAUGGAACCUCUACAAGGAACAAUUUCAGGCCAUGGAAAACAAGCUUAGCAAAGUUCUCAACAACAUAGUUAGGAUUUUAUGGGAAGGGCUAGCUAAAACUGUCAAUAUUCUCAACCAUACUAGCUCAGUCAAUCACAACGUGAUGAAUUUUAUCAUAAGAUAAUGGAGAGAGCCAUACAAAAGGAACUGCAAUUCCAUCCCUGUUUCUUGGCUGUAGGCCACGCUGGCUAAAAGUUUUCUUCUCUUCUGAAUAUAUGCAGAAUCACUCAUAGCUCAUGUCCAAACAGCAUUUUUAGGGGUGUUUUCACACAACUGCAAGUAGAAGAGGCACAUUUAUUCCAACUAACUUUCAUUUGAAGACAUGUAAAUAGGCUUGAGGGUCAGACGGAAUGAUGAUGCUGUUCACAGUGAUCAGAAGAGAACCGAGACGUGCUGGUCUUUAAAAGGAAGUGUUAAAAGCUGUCAUACUGAGUUUCAAGCAGAUGGUUAGGUAGCCAUGAGGGAAGAGUCAGAACCAGCUGAGAUUUUGAUUUGGAUAUAAAACAUAUCCCUGAAAGGAAGGGAAGGGUGAAAGUCAGUCUCUGCAGAAACGGGAAUUGAAUUUAUAUGUUUUUAAAAUUACAGUAGCUUGCUAAAUUACAUGCACAUAAAGGUAUUUCUUGUACAUGUGCUGACAUUGUAUUUUGCUGCCCUGAAAAAAAGCAAAGUUGAAAGGUGUUACUUGAAUAUUGUCCGUUCAAAUAAAUGGAUGAAAAAGAGAAUAUAUACCAUAGCUGGUAUUGACAUACACAUGCCUUUAUAUAUAUGGAUAUCGGAGGGUGUUUCAUUUUUUUGUGGAAGGGUUCUACAAAAUAUGACCUCCAUUCCCUUAAACACAUACUCCUAAAACUAGAAACAUUUUGGGUUUUCCCCCCUAUUUGCCUUCCUAAACUUGUCCUAAGCAUCUGUAUUAUGUUAUCCAACACACUGGCUGCUAACAAUACAAUCAAUAUAAAAGGUUACUUAGGGGGCAUGGCUUUUUUUCUGUCCUCAAAACGUAAACCUUAUUUUAAUAGGGAUUUGAACUCUUUCAGUGUGGAAAAUGUCUCAGGAUCAUUCAGGGAAGGGAGGAAAAAAAAAAAAAAAGAAAAAAUGAAGCAUAGAGAAAUUACAGGUUUUGGAGUCUGAAAACAGGAAAUUCGCUUUAAUAAACAUUUUUCUGCACACCAGCAUAAAAUAUAUUUUUUCAGUUUCAUAACUUGAUUGUAAAAUUUUACAGGGCAGGAAGUUGGCAUGCCAGGCACUGACCUAAAUACC
RNAcentral lists this long non-coding RNA (2027 nucleotides) under Strigops habroptila (Kakapo). RNAcentral describes it as "lncRNA (ENSSHBG00005013730.1)". The record is from RNAcentral. Lineage: Eukaryota; Metazoa; Chordata; Aves; Psittaciformes; Psittacidae.